This is a long non-coding RNA of Lates calcarifer (barramundi perch), 942 nucleotides long. RefSeq lists it as uncharacterized. The transcript has 3 exons. The record is from RefSeq and is a predicted model, not a curated record. NCBI's taxonomy places the organism in Eukaryota, Metazoa, Chordata, Actinopteri, Centropomidae.
GGAGGAGCAGGCUGUCCUGGGACACGUCGUUACCUAACACCAAAUUCAAAGAAACACGAAGGGCCGUCAGUCGGGACUGGCAAAGAAUUCCUGGCUGGAGGCUCCAGCUCUCUACCUCUGUGUUUGCCGUCCAUCUGCCGGCUGCCGGACCAUGAGCAGAUGUUCACCCCGUCCUCCAAGACCUGAGCCUGGAGAUGUGGUGUGAGGAGCCCGGAGUCACAGGCCCGUGCUCGUACCUCUCCAGGGAAGUUCAUUAAGCCUUAUUUACAUUUGUGAUGCCAAUCACACAGAUACUUGAACCUGAACAAAGACCGAACAGAGGUGAACAGUGGUUAUUCGACCUGCUGAAGGUCAGUACACCACCCUGCCUUACGAAUACCAAAACACUGUUGUUGUGCUAAAAUGGGUGCCGCCUGACGAUUCAUCGGAUUCUGAAUUACACAUAAUCGUACAUUCAGCAUUGUAAAUCCAAUCAGGAGUGUGUGCAUGAUAAAACCUGGACAUCUUAUGGAAGAAAAAGUUUGGAGACGUGGGGAAAAGCAGCAGAACCACGAACUACAAACUCCUAUAAACCUCAGGCAAAACACUGAGGUAUUUUUAGUGUUUACAUGCAUCUGGUUUUGUCAGUUGGACUGCCUCAGGUGUCUGGUUCAACUAGUUAAAGACAGUCUUGGUCAGCAAUGAUGUAUUUGACUUUACAAACAUGGGUUUUGGGCCCUGUUUGUUGAGUGUGUUAGUGAGAAAAAAUGAAGUCCUGGUAGAGAGGAACAAUGGCCUCACCCUGUGCACCUUCCAGCAGAAACUUUUAAUAUUUCUGAUGAAAGUUUUUAGAAUUUAUGAUCCAAAAAAACAGUAGUGACCAUUUAAAAUAUAGUUCAGUGUUUUUAUUUUGUAGGUAUAAGAGGAAACAGUUUCUUAUUUUGAAUAAAAACAUGGACGCGA